RNAcentral lists this ribosomal RNA (90 nucleotides) under Bacteroidia bacterium. Lineage: Bacteria; Pseudomonadati; Bacteroidota; Bacteroidia. The record is from RNAcentral.
UCACCUCUUCCCAUUCCGAACAGAGAAGUUAAGCCCACCUGCGCAGAUGGUACUUGGCCUAAAGCCUGGGAGAGUAUGGCGAUGCCAAUU